AAUAGAUACCCGGGUAGUCCACGCCCUAAACGAUGUCGACUGGUUGUUGGGGGUUUGACACUCUCAGUAACGAAGCUAACGCGUGAAGUCGACCGCCUGGGGAGUACGGCCGCAAGGUUAAAACUCAAAGGAAUUGACGGGGACCCGCACAAGCGGUGGAUUAUGUGGAUUAAUUCGAUGCAACGCGAAAAACCUUACCUACCCUUGACAUGUCCUGAAUCCCGCUGAGAGGUGGGAGUGCCCGAAAGGGAACGGGAACACAGGUGCUGCAUGGCUGUCGUCAGCUCGUGUCGUGAGAUGUUGGGUUAAGUCCCGCAACGAGCGCAACCCUUGUCAUUAGUUGCUACGAAAGGGCACUCUAAUGAGACUGCCGGUGACAAACCGGAGGAAGGUGGGGAUGACGUCAAGUCCUCAUGGCCCUUAUGGGUAGGGCUUCACACGUCAUACAAUGGUGCAUACAGAGGGUUGCCAACCCGCGAGGGGGAGCCAAUCCCAGAAAGUGCAUCGUAGUCCGGAUUGCAGUCUGCAACUCGA
RNAcentral lists this ribosomal RNA (534 nucleotides) under uncultured bacterium. RNAcentral describes it as "bacterial SSU rRNA". It matches the Rfam family "Bacterial small subunit ribosomal RNA", at positions 777 to 1315 of the family's 1533-position model. The record is from RNAcentral.